This 254-nucleotide ribosomal RNA is filed under the name uncultured bacterium. RNAcentral describes it as "partial 16S ribosomal RNA". It matches the Rfam family "Bacterial small subunit ribosomal RNA", at positions 524 to 776 of the family's 1533-position model. The record is from RNAcentral.
UACGAAGGGGGCUAGCGUUGCUCGGAAUCACUGGGCGUAAAGCGCACGUAGGCGGCUUUCUAAGUCUUGUGUGAAAUCCCUCGGCUCAACUGAGGAACUGCACGGGAUACUGGAAGACUUGAGUUCGGGAGAGGGAAGCGGAAUUCCGGGUGUAGCGGUGAAAUGCGUAGAUAUCCGGAGGAACACCGGUGGCGAAGGCGGCUUCCUGGACCGAUUACUGACGCUGGGGCGCGAAAGCUAGGGGAGCAAACGGG